Molecule: ribosomal RNA, 1408 nt
Filed under: Staphylococcus sp. WS2
Lineage: Bacteria; Bacillati; Bacillota; Bacilli; Caryophanales; Staphylococcaceae
Also listed under: 1 other name
Description: 16S ribosomal RNA
Rfam family: Bacterial small subunit ribosomal RNA
Source: RNAcentral
GUCGAGCGAACAGAUGAGAAGCUUGCUUCUCUGAUGUUAGCGGCGGACGGGUGAGUAACACGUGGGUAACCUACCUAUAAGACUGGGAUAACUCCGGGAAACCGGGGCUAAUACCGGAUAAUAUUUUGAACCGCAUGGUUCAAUAGUGAAAGACGGUUUCGGCUGUCACUUAUAGAUGGACCCGCGCCGUAUUAGCUAGUUGGUAAGGUAACGGCUUACCAAGGCGACGAUACGUAGCCGACCUGAGAGGGUGAUCGGCCACACUGGAACUGAGACACGGUCCAGACUCCUACGGGAGGCAGCAGUAGGGAAUCUUCCGCAAUGGGCGAAAGCCUGACGGAGCAACGCCGCGUGAGUGAUGAAGGUCUUCGGAUCGUAAAACUCUGUUGUUAGGGAAGAACAAAUUUGUUAGUAACUGAACAAGUCUUGACGGUACCUAACCAGAAAGCCACGGCUAACUACGUGCCAGCAGCCGCGGUAAUACGUAGGUGGCAAGCGUUAUCCGGAAUUAUUGGGCGUAAAGCGCGCGUAGGCGGUUUCUUAAGUCUGAUGUGAAAGCCCACGGCUCAACCGUGGAGGGUCAUUGGAAACUGGGAAACUUGAGUGCAGAAGAGGAGAGUGGAAUUCCAUGUGUAGCGGUGAAAUGCGCAGAGAUAUGGAGGAACACCAGUGGCGAAGGCGGCUCUCUGGUCUGUAACUGACGCUGAUGUGCGAAAGCGUGGGGAUCAAACAGGAUUAGAUACCCUGGUAGUCCACGCCGUAAACGAUGAGUGCUAAGUGUUAGGGGGUUUCCGCCCCUUAGUGCUGCAGCUAACGCAUUAAGCACUCCGCCUGGGGAGUACGACCGCAAGGUUGAAACUCAAAGGAAUUGACGGGGACCCGCACAAGCGGUGGAGCAUGUGGUUUAAUUCGAAGCAACGCGAAGAACCUUACCAAAUCUUGACAUCCUUUGACCGCUCUAGAGAUAGAGUCUUCCCCUUCGGGGGACAAAGUGACAGGUGGUGCAUGGUUGUCGUCAGCUCGUGUCGUGAGAUGUUGGGUUAAGUCCCGCAACGAGCGCAACCCUUAAGCUUAGUUGCCAUCAUUAAGUUGGGCACUCUAGGUUGACUGCCGGUGACAAACCGGAGGAAGGUGGGGAUGACGUCAAAUCAUCAUGCCCCUUAUGAUUUGGGCUACACACGUGCUACAAUGGAUAAUACAAAGGGCAGCGAAUCCGCGAGGCCAAGCAAAUCCCAUAAAAUUAUUCUCAGUUCGGAUUGUAGUCUGCAACUCGACUACAUGAAGCUGGAAUCGCUAGUAAUCGUAGAUCAGCAUGCUACGGUGAAUACGUUCCCGGGUCUUGUACACACCGCCCGUCACACCACGAGAGUUUGUAACACCCGAAGCCGGUGGAGUAACCUUUUAGGAG